This 253-nucleotide ribosomal RNA is filed under the name uncultured bacterium. RNAcentral's name for it is "partial 16S ribosomal RNA". It matches the Rfam family "Bacterial small subunit ribosomal RNA", at positions 524 to 776 of the family's 1533-position model. The record is from RNAcentral.
UACGAGGGGUGCAAACGUUGCUCGGAAUCAUUGGGCGUAAAGAGCGCGCAGGCGGUCGUUCAAGUCGAGUGUGAAAGCCCCCGGCUCAACUGGGGAGGGUCACUCGAUACUGAUCGACUCGAAGGCAGGAGAGGGAAGUGGAAUUCCCGGUGUAGUGGUGAAAUGCGUAGAUAUCGGGAGGAACACCAGUGGCGAAGGCGACUUCCUGGCCUGUUCUUGACGCUGAGGCGCGAAAGCUAGGGGAGCAAACGGG